Long non-coding RNA from Homo sapiens (human), 728 nucleotides. Lineage: Eukaryota; Metazoa; Chordata; Mammalia; Primates; Hominidae. The record is from Ensembl.
GUGGAGGAGGGACAGACAGAGGAGGCUCGUGCAGGGGAACGCCAGCCAAGGAGGGAGCGCCUGCUCCAAGGGAGGGGGCAUUUGAGGCACAGAUCAAAUGAUUCCAUGAUGACAAACUGCCUGUCUCAACUGACCAGAUUCCACUGGCAAACACUCCGCUGACCUUGGGCAGCUCCCUCUGCUCCCACCUCCUCUGGCCCUUGUGCUUCUGGGGCUUUGUGGAGUAGCUGGACAUCAAUGAUAACACUAACAGUAGCCGGCCUGCCACCAAGUUCUUUACAUAGGGGAUGCCUAUGUCUGUGCUUCAUUGGCGUCAUCUCACAAGGCCCUGAGCUGGCAGGAAAUUGAGGUCUCAAGGGGAAAAGCCACCUGCCCCCAGUGACAACCAGGAAGUGCAAGACUCUGACCCAACGCCCAUGCCUGCCAUCCCCAAACAUGGGCUCAAAACCCCCUUCCCAGGGACGGCUGUGUCCACCCCUCAGCAGGAGGAGGAGACCCCACAGCACCGGGUGAGAGGUCCUGCUGGAUGCUAAGCACCGAAACCUCAACCCGGAACAAGACCAGAACAACCUGAGCAACAACAGGACCAGCGAUGGCUCUCCCUGCUGGAGGAUUCUGGAAGUCACCUGGCUGGACCAAGCCCUCUCCGUGUUCUCUGUCAGCCCACUCCCCAGAGCCGCUAGGCCUGAUGUGCACAAGCAGACUAAUAAAGGCUUGAGGACAAAAAG